Molecule: long non-coding RNA, 1654 nt
Filed under: Homo sapiens (human)
Lineage: Eukaryota; Metazoa; Chordata; Mammalia; Primates; Hominidae
Description: HSALNT0313013
Source: RNAcentral
CUGGGUUCUGUUGUUGGCAACCAACAGAGUUGUUGUCUUUUCUCGCAUUCAUUAAAAUGCACAAGAAGAAAUUUCUAAUGGUGAGGGAGUACUUGCUUCAAAUUCAUACUUCAGUGAAAUAAACAACACCAUACAUAGGAAUGUGAAAGCAAAGUCAUCAUACACUGUUUGCUUCAUUGUAUGAGAAUCAAUGUUUGCAUGAUAAACUGCCCUAAUGGAAGAGGACUCUGAGUUACCUUUUUCGAGCAAAGCCACCUAGGUUACUCUGUUUUCCCCAGAGUGACCCUUCUGUUCUGCAAAUUUUCAGAUUGAAGGGAGUAGCAGUAGAGUAUCAGAAGUAUCAGAAGCAAAAAAGUAAAUGUAUGAUUUGAGAUGAAACAACUGAGGGCCAAAAAGUUUACAAAAUUUUCCAAGAUCAUACAGCUAAUUAACAACAUCUGGGCUCUUCUUGACUUUUGGAAUCCAAAAGGUGCUACCAGCAUCCCAAGGUGUCCAGCUUGUAGACAGCCUGUCGUGGGACUUCUCAACCUCCAUAAUUGUAUAACCUCAAAGUAAUGGGAGAAGAUACACAAGUGAUCAUUGCCAGGACUGAAGACUGUUCCUAGGACUACUAUUUGGAUCAACAGAAGCUGAAAAUGAGAAUAUCAAAGGCUGGGCAGAUAGUUUCACUCACGGGCAUUGAUCAGGAUGGCUGGAGGUCACCUGCUGCAAGAAGCACUGUGUUUUCUGUGCAGCUUAAUGAGAGGGAGCAUAUCAUUUCAGGACUCUCACAGGAUGCAGUGUUACUGAGAAUCUCAUGAGGCAAAUCCUAAAUGCCAGGAUAAAUUUGCAGAGAUAGAACUACUACUUUUUUUUUUUAAAUUUCCUUUUGUUAUGACUUGAACGUGUAAGGUCAUGCUUCGAGCCUGCUAUCCUAUAGCUCUCAAUUCUAAACUAGUUGCAAGUAUAUUGGACUUCUUGCCCUGACCCCUGUCCCUUUGAUAGGCCAGGUGAAUCCAAAUAUGCCCGAGUGCAUCUCACAGAAUACAUCUGAUUCUAGGAUGGGACUAGAGGUCUCCUGGUAUUUAGAACUGCAAAAUGAGGUAGCAAAAGCUCUAGUCAUAUGCCUCCCAUUUAUUUGACAUAUCAUCACAAACAUGUCCAUAAUUUACCAAGGUUGAUCCACUGCCUACUACAUUUGUGUGUGAAAAUGUGUCAUGCUUUGUGGAAAAAGUGAAAAUAGUUAUCUGUAUGGUGGGUGCACUUUGAGUGACUGGGGUGGGGUAUGAGCACUGUCUUACAAAAAAGUCAAGAGUAAUAUCUGACAAAGAUACUGUCCUUUACCCUGGAUACCAACAGAUGUUCUUGUUUUCAUUCAAAAUUACAAUUAUCAUUGAAGUGCACAGUGGCUUUUAAUUGAGACAGAUAAAACGUAACUUCAAGUAUUGAAGUAAUUUUUUUUUACUGUUUUUAAGACAACUGAAGAUCUGAGCAAUUCUUGGCAUGACUUUUCUCCAUUCAGUUUAGAUUUUUGUGAUAAAAGGCGACUAUAAUAAAGAGAAUGGUAAAGGAAAAUAUCUAACAUGGAAUUUAUAUCUAAUCUUCUUGAAAGUUAUGAACACUUGUUAAUCCUUAAUUUCAACUCUUGAGAUUUCAUCUGAUUUGAGAUAUUCCU